ACGAACGCUGGCGGCGUGCUUAACACAUGCACGUCGAACGGAAAGGCCCUGCCUUUGUGGGGUGCUCGAGUGGCGAACGGGUGAGUAACACGUGAGUAACCUGCCCUUGACUUUGGGAUAACUUCAGGAAACUGGGGCUAAUACCGGAUAGGAGCUCCUGCUGCAUGGUGGGGGUUGGAAAGUUUCGGCGGUUGGGGAUGGACUCGCGGCUUAUCAGCUUGUUGGUGGGGUAGUGGCUUACCAAGGCUUUGACGGGUAGCCGGCCUGAGAGGGUGACCGGCCACAUUGGGACUGAGAUACGGCCCAGACUCCUACGGGAGGCAGCAGUGGGGAAUAUUGCACAAUGGGCGGAAGCCUGAUGCAGCAACGCCGCGUGCGGGAUGACGGCCUUCGGGUUGUAAACCGCUUUCGCCUGUGACGAAGCGUGAGUGACGGUAAUGGGUAAAGAAGCACCGGCUAACUACGUG
RNAcentral lists this ribosomal RNA (467 nucleotides) under uncultured bacterium. RNAcentral's name for it is "partial 16S ribosomal RNA". It matches the Rfam family "Bacterial small subunit ribosomal RNA", at positions 29 to 507 of the family's 1533-position model. The record is from RNAcentral.